UACUGUGUAUGAUGAUUUUGAAUUAUCAAUGGGAAUCUCUCCGAACAAUGAUGAGGGAACUCUUCGCACUGAGCCAGUA
Molecule: non-coding RNA, 79 nt
Organism: Xenopus laevis (African clawed frog)
Lineage: Eukaryota; Metazoa; Chordata; Amphibia; Anura; Pipidae
Source: Rfam